GGCACCUGACGCGUCUGACGAGCAUGCCGCGUGAGGGAUAAGGUUGCCUGAUCGUUGACUCCGCUGUUCUGGAGUAAGAACUGACGUUACUGCACGUGCCUUGACGGUACCUUAUUAUAACGCCACCGCUAAUUAUAUGCCAGCAGCCGCGGUAAUA
RNAcentral lists this ribosomal RNA (157 nucleotides) under uncultured bacterium. RNAcentral describes it as "partial 16S ribosomal RNA". The record is from RNAcentral.